ACGUGGUUAGUACCGCCGCCAAAUGGUGCAGGUGAUCCUCCCAUGCUUCCGUGUACACAGCUAAGCACAAGCACAAGGCACACAGGCAAGGCAUCAAGUGGGGAUACCGCUCAUGUGAAGACCUAACGUCUGCGAUGUUUCUUCUGUAAUUAAAACACGCUGGUGAUAGCUGUUGAAGGUUGCUAGUCGCCUGCAAGUCGAUAUUACACAAAGAGCGCGCAAAGCUGACUUCUUACAAAGGCACUCCAGAACUGGCUGCAAGGUCGGAUGGAAGGGGGCAAUACAUGGAAACGAAUUGUACCAUCAGCCAAGGAUUUUCCAUUAUCAUUCGUCCUUCAUUACUAAAUUUGUCACAGAGAUGUUGCAAUAUGGAUUGGAUAGGAGCUACAAAUAAUAUAAUGACUGUGGAUAUGCUUCACCUAUCUCCAUCGCAGUUUUGUGAAAUAUUCUGGUUGAUAUUCAGCAACGCCCAGUUUGCACGCAAACAACUUUGAUGUGAUUAGAUUGAUGCAAAAAGGAAUAUAAAGUUUGGUUUUCCCUAUUUCUCAUAUCUGGGAAUAGCCUGGAGGAAUUGCACAAAAACUAGCUGCGCCUUUCACGACU
Molecule: long non-coding RNA, 603 nt
Organism: Ornithodoros turicata
Lineage: Eukaryota; Metazoa; Arthropoda; Arachnida; Ixodida; Argasidae
Exons: 3
Source: RefSeq, a predicted model, not a curated record